Molecule: ribosomal RNA, 260 nt
Filed under: uncultured dinoflagellate
Lineage: Eukaryota; Dinophyceae
Description: partial 18S ribosomal RNA
Rfam family: Eukaryotic small subunit ribosomal RNA (bases 104-260)
Source: RNAcentral
UUUCUGCUGAGGGUGGCUGGUCCGCCCUCUGGGUGAGUAUUUGGCACAGCCUGAGCAUUUAUCUUGAAAGCACAACUGCACUUGACUGUGUGGUGUGUUAUUGAGAACAUUUACUUUGAGGAAAUCAGAGUGUUUCAAGCAGGUGUUUGGCCUUGAAUACAUUAGCAUGGAAUAAUACUCAAGACCAUGGUUCUUUUUUGUUGGUUUCUAGAAUCGAGGUAAUGAUUAAUAGGGAUAGUUGGGGGCAUUCGUAUUUGAUU